Sphaeramia orbicularis (orbiculate cardinalfish) is the source of this 158-nucleotide long non-coding RNA. RefSeq lists it as uncharacterized. The transcript is spliced from 3 exons. Lineage: Eukaryota; Metazoa; Chordata; Actinopteri; Kurtiformes; Apogonidae. The record is from RefSeq and is a predicted model, not a curated record.
CAUUUUUUUAAUCUUCUGUUUUUUUGCCUUAAAGGUUUGUUUUACCUGCUGUACAUACUUACCAUAGGUCCAGAUUGGAUCUUAAUACAGAGACUGAGAAAUGCAUGUGUGUGGUCAUUAUGACUUUAUUAAACCAACAAACCUAAUAUUGGACUUUU